RNAcentral lists this ribosomal RNA (305 nucleotides) under uncultured bacterium. RNAcentral's name for it is "bacterial SSU rRNA". It matches the Rfam family "Bacterial small subunit ribosomal RNA", at positions 337 to 659 of the family's 1533-position model. The record is from RNAcentral.
UCCUACGGGGCGCAGCAGUGGGGAAUAUUGCACAAUGGGGGGAACCCUGAUGCAGCGACGCCGCGUGAAGGAAGAAGUAUUUCGGUAUGUAAACUUCUAUCAGCAGGGAAGAAAAUGACGGUACCUGACUAAGAAGCCCCGGCUAACUACGUGCCAGCAGCCGCGGUAAUACGUAGGGGGCAAGCGUUAUCCGGAUUUACUGGGUGUAAAGGGAGCGUAGACGGCAGGGCAAGUCUGGAGUGAAAGGCAGGGGCCCAACCCCUGGACUGCUCUGGAAACUGUCCGGCUGGAGUUCUGGAGAGGUA